RNAcentral lists this ribosomal RNA (232 nucleotides) under uncultured bacterium. RNAcentral describes it as "partial 16S ribosomal RNA". It matches the Rfam family "Bacterial small subunit ribosomal RNA", at positions 99 to 334 of the family's 1533-position model. The record is from RNAcentral.
CGGACGGGUGAGUAACGCGUGGGAAUCUGCCUACUAGCGGGGGAUAGCCCGGAGAAAUCCGGAUUAAUACCGCAUACGCCCUACGGGGGAAAGCUGGGGAUCUUCGUACCUGGCACUAGUAGAUGAGCCCGCGUUAGAUUAGCUUGUUGGUGGGGUAAUGGCCUACCAAGGCGACGAUCUAUAGCUGGUCUGAGAGGACGAUCAGCCACACUGGGACUGAGACACGGCCCAG